This 176-nucleotide non-coding RNA is filed under the name bacterium. RNAcentral describes it as "6S RNA". It matches the Rfam family "6S / SsrS RNA". From Rfam's summary of the family: E. coli 6S RNA was the first non coding RNA to be sequenced, but its function was unknown until recently. It consists of 184 nucleotides that fold into an extended hairpin structure with a large single-stranded internal bulge. The record is from RNAcentral.
AAUGCCCUACUGUGCUCGUGAUGCCGCAACAUGGUUUUGAGCCAACAUCCACUUAUCGGAUCCCAGUCUUACGGGCGUGACGCGAUAGGCCUGAGCCAAGGCGGAGCUCUCGAGGCGGGACCCAACUUGCGAAGGCAGGUUCAAAACUUGGCUGCACACGGUAUGGUGGGGUGCUA